RNAcentral lists this ribosomal RNA (274 nucleotides) under uncultured delta proteobacterium. RNAcentral describes it as "partial 16S ribosomal RNA". It matches the Rfam family "Bacterial small subunit ribosomal RNA", at positions 234 to 523 of the family's 1533-position model. Lineage: Bacteria; Deltaproteobacteria. The record is from RNAcentral.
CGAUUAUUAAUCCUAGUUGGCGGGGUAACGGCCCACCAAGGGUACGAUCGGUAGCUGGUCUGAGAGGACGAUCAGCCACACUGGAACUGAGACACGGUCCAGACUCCUACGGGAGGCAGCAGUGGGGAAUAUUGCGCAAUGGGCGAAAGCCUGACGCAGCCACGCCGCGUGUGUGAUGAAGGCCUUCGGGUUGUAAAGCACUGUCGAGGGGGACGAAGAAUGACGGUACCCCUCAAGAAAGCGCCGGCUAACCCUGUGCCAGCAGCCGCGGUAA